Long non-coding RNA from Lycium barbarum (goji berry), 2728 nucleotides. RefSeq lists it as uncharacterized. The transcript has 2 exons. NCBI's taxonomy places the organism in Eukaryota, Viridiplantae, Streptophyta, Magnoliopsida, Solanales, Solanaceae. The record is from RefSeq and is a predicted model, not a curated record.
AACCAAACGACCCUUUCUCCUUCACCUACCACCCCUAAACCGAACAGCCACCCCAACGUCACCACCACCCCACUCCCCGUCACUUCCGUCACGUCACCUCACCACCAACACGCCCCUAUCCCACGAAAUCCGCUGCCUUCUCUUUUCUCACACUCCAUCUCUGAAGCCUGCAAAUUCAGCGAAUUUUAUGUUCUCGGCUGAAACAACAAGCUUUCGAGUGGAUUCGGAGACUCGAAGACGACAAUAGCCUCAGUUCGCUGUCACGGAGAAGGUAAUCACAUUCGUCCUAUCUUCGUCUUUAAUUUUGUAAAACUAGAAAUGUAGUCGUUCAAGUAUUUCUUGUCGUAUAUUUGGUUUAGUUGGCUGGAAUGUGUGUUCUCCUCGUUUGUUGUAAAUUAGUGUGAAACGAAUAAUUUCAUCGAAUAUGUGCUUAACCCCGUCGCUGCUCGGCAAAAAGAGAAUUCUCAAAAUCCCUCUCUUUUAAUUUUUUUCGCUUUUAGUUCUGUCAUGGUAUAGCAUUAUGCGGUUUGUGUUUUAGACAAGUUUAGGUCUAAUCAUGUGUAACAACCUUAAAUCUUGAGAUUUUACUAGUUUAAGCUUCGAAAAAAUAAAACUAGCAAUGCUCUAGUGUUAGCUUAAUACUGCCUCGAAUAGUUGCUGAUACUGACUAGUCUCAAUUUGUUUUACAUGAUCAGUUUAGUUUAAAGCUAAUGGGAAAUCUGGUUUAAAUUAGCAUAAGAUAAAAUCGAUGUGCUGUUUGGAGCUAUUAACAUACGUCAGUUUCAGUUCUUGGGCUGGUUUAUAUUGUCUUAAGGAGAUUAGAUGUUGUUUUAGAUUUAAACAAUCUAAAGAUGUCUUUUGAAACAUACUUGAGCACCUGGCAGCCUUGAUAUAUAGACAUUUAAUUCAAAUUUGAUCAGAAAAUUUCUCUUAUUGAUCCCUGCUUCAUGGAUUGGGAUAUCUGUUGAUUUGAAACUGUAUUAUGUUGACUCUGUCAUGUAUUUGAAACUGUUUGUGUUGGCCAAACAACCUGUAGUGAGAGUCAUUCACCAUUUUUUUUUUUCUCUUUGCUUAAUUGUUUAUGAGUUGUUGAAAGGAAAUGGGGGGAAUUUACACGCUGGUUUGAAUAAAAAUGGGAAUAGAUCACUGUUCAUAUGAUUAUUUAGGAGGCCUCAGUUCUCAGCAUUUGACUGAGCUUAAGUUAAUAGCCUUGAAGAUUUAAAUGAUAGGCUUAUGGUUGUGCAUGUAUGAACUUGGUUCUGGUUGGGUAUAGCUGUUCUCAGUGCUUGCUAGUUUCAGUAUUCUUGCCAUUGUGGAUAGUUGAGUUAGUCUAAUGUGGGGUUGAAGUAAGUUUCUUAGAUUUAUUCUAGUAGAAACUUUGGGUAGUAGCCUAUAGAAAUGGAUCUUAUGGGCUGUUUCAUUACUGUCUAUGAUAGCUUCCCUUAUGUGUAUCCGGAUUCAAGUUGCAAUACAAGUUAAGCUUAUCAAGUCUGUGUCAAUAUGAUAUAGGUCUAGUCUGUGGACUUAUUUUAGUUUAAGAUACUUUCGGGGUCUGAUUGCUUAACACAUGCCCUUUUAGCAUUGUAUGGUGGCUGCCUGAAAUAAAUAGGGAUAAGGUUAUAUUUUAGCUCAAACCAUAAGUUCUGUGUUGAUCUAUUGUGUGCAAGGUGUUGCUCUUUCCUGAAUUGAGUUAAGUUAUCUCAACUAGAAUACAUAUUAGUUAUUGAAUUAUGUGUCAAGAGGUUAGGAAACAAAUUAAGAACCCAUUCUGCUAUAGUUUGGCCCUCUUCUUAAAAAUGAUAAACAUACAUAAUAUAGGAAGUGAUGGAUUUGCCAACCUAAUCUUCCUGUGAGCAUAUAGGACAUGCAUGUUUGAAUUUCUGUGGUCAUUUAUCUCUUCUUUUUCUUCUGACCCAACCCUGAAGAUCACGCUGUGAUAAUUUCUUUCCUUUCCUUAAAAGUGAUUGUCAAAUUAUUUGUUGUCUAUACGAGCUGUCUUUCCUUAGAAGUGAUUGUCAAACUGUUUGAUAGCAAAAAUGUAAAGUUGUUUUCAAUGGCUAAAUUGGAUUCUGCUUAACCAUUUCAGUUUAGUUACUAUUUUUUUCGCAAAGGCACUUCCUCUUUUUUAUAAAGCCUGCUUAUGUCCUAAAAGAAUAACUUUCAAACCUAUGUGUUGUGUGCAUCUUGGCUGAGUAUCAUCUUCAAGAAUUUCCUGAUACUUUCUUCUCUUCCCUGCAUUGUUCUAUUUUUCUAACCAGUAUGAGAUUAAGAAACUGUCUGCUAAAGCCUGAGUCUGUGUGCUCUAAAGUUAGCAUUAGAUUUGGCAUCAUAUUUAUAUGUUUGAAGUUUAAGCUUUCAGUUGUUUAUCCUAGUACUAUAGCAUCAAAUAUUUUUUUUUAAAAGGGGUUGGUUCCUUUACAUGACUAGUCGGUCUGUUUUUCAGUUUAAGCUAGUCUCUGGUUGCUUCCUUCAGUUACUGUGCUGUUAACUAAAUAUAUAUCGUUGUGUAUUAUUUGCUAGAAAAUGGGGAGGUCUGUUCCUUUAAGUUCUGUUAUCUUUUAGGUGUUUAAGAUUUUCACUUGAGAGAACUAAGUGCUAGCUACUGAACCUAUUGCUAGUUGAUUUAGCUGCAUAAAUACUCGAACAGUUAUUCCUUUCCCUUACUAAAGUAUUCUGUCUAAAUGGUUAAGUGCCCAGUUUAAUUGUUACUGCUACUCUUUUUUUUUUC